GGACGCAAUCUCGGGACCAGAAGCCAGCUCCGUCGCCGCCAGGGCCGAGCAAAAGCGAGUCGGGCUCUGAUACAUUCCGUGGGGGCGCGAACUAGACGAUGGCACCAGACCGACGGCGACCCGGGACACCACCACCGAGCACGGCUUUUUCUGAAAUCAUCCUGCUCAUCAAUUCUUACAGCACAAUAGUAAUCUUUCACCAUCACAUAACAAAACUUGUUCAUCCAUUUCCCCAACUGGUGAGUAUCCGUUCAAAUUCCAAUUCUUUGCCACCACAAUAUUUUAUAUAUAUGCUAUAAAUAUUUUUGUACAGGCAGGUCCUUUCUCCUUAAUUAUCUUAAUGAUCUUAAUGUGUAUAUAGACCCGAAGCUUCUAAUAAAAGCCAAGUACUGGGUUUUGGGGGGGUGGUGUAGAUCUGUAUAAACCCAUCACUUGAAUCUGGUAGUUUGGAGAUAUGAUCAAUCAUAUCACUUUU
Molecule: long non-coding RNA, 475 nt
Organism: Gracilinanus agilis (Agile Gracile Mouse Opossum)
Lineage: Eukaryota; Metazoa; Chordata; Mammalia; Didelphimorphia; Didelphidae
Exons: 3
Source: RefSeq, a predicted model, not a curated record